UACGGAGGAUGCGAGCGUUAUCCGGAUUUAUUGGGUUUAAAGGGUGCGUAGGCGGGCUGUUAAGUCAGCGGUCAAAUGCCGGGGCUCAACCCCGGCCUGCCGUUGAAACUGGCGGCCUCGAGUGGGCGAGAAGUAUGCGGAAUGCGUGGUGUAGCGGUGAAAUGCAUAGAUAUCACGCAGAACUCCGAUUGCGAAGGCAGCAUACCGGCGCCCGACUGACGCUGAGGCACGAAAGCGUGGGUAUCGAACAGG
This 252-nucleotide ribosomal RNA is filed under the name uncultured bacterium. RNAcentral's name for it is "partial 16S ribosomal RNA". It matches the Rfam family "Bacterial small subunit ribosomal RNA", at positions 524 to 776 of the family's 1533-position model. The record is from RNAcentral.